GCUGGGCCUGGCUCUGGGUCCUGGUGCGAAUGAGUCAGUCCGUGAUCCAGGGCAUGUCUUUAAUUAAGGGGACAAUUGCUUGGCUCCAGGAUGGGAGGUCCCCUCCCUGGCAGACCCUCCCCGUCCCGUGAAUCGUCUCUCAGCCUGUCUCGGAGCUGGGCUUCUUUCCUGUUCCUUGCUGAAGAGACAAGAUGUGGGCAAAUUGGAACAAGAGGUGGGGGAGGAGCCACCUUCUGUGAUCCCGUCUGGACAUUAAGAAGCGCUUCUCCAAGAAUCUGGAACUGGCUGCCAGCUGUUUUGUUCAUGACUGCUCAUAGGAGGCCCUUGACAAAGGUAAGUUGCCUGAAUGAACGACUACUGUGUACAGGUGGGUACAGGUAUUAACUUUCUAUUCCUGACGGCAUUUUACAGAGGAGGGGCUGGAAGUAUCCUAAGUGUCAGAGCUGGGAUUUGAACCCAGGGUGGACGUCUUCUACUGGCAAGUGUUUCUCUGAUUUCCCUCUUCGCCUGGAGUAUGCACGUCUAGAAUGGCCCGGAAGUGAGUUCAUCCAUCCUGCACCCCUGGUCAGGUGCUUCCCACCUCCCUGGCCAGGGGCCUCGAGGUCCCCGUGUUCGCGUCUCAGGUGUGCCAGCUCUGCCGCGGUCCCAGGCCCUGGGAACGGGUUGG
This 667-nucleotide long non-coding RNA is filed under the name Sus scrofa (pig). Its description in RNAcentral is "lncRNA (ENSSSCG00030057208.1)". The record is from RNAcentral. Lineage: Eukaryota; Metazoa; Chordata; Mammalia; Artiodactyla; Suidae.